ACGUGUUCUGAAAUCUCAGAGUCAAAUUCAGAUUUGUUAGAUGCAAACAUUUCUGACAAAAUGGUCAGAUUUGUUUAUAUUGUUUAUGUGGCUGGAGGAGGAUAAUAUUCAUAGGAGUUUGGGAGUUUCAGGGGGUUUCACUCUUUCACUAUAAAAUACUAAACAACAGCAGCAGAGAUGAUCAUCUGAGCUGUUUUUUCCUCUUUGCUGGUGUAAGAAUAAUUAAAUGGACAAGAGAGAAAGAGAAAAAUGGCUAACAAAAAAGACAAAGUUACAAUCUACUGAACCAAAGAUGCCGAGUCUAGUCAGACACAACAGCAUUAAUAGCGGCAAACCAAACUUUUCUCACGUUGCACAGAAUCAUUCUGGUGAUUCACUCAGUCGCAAAAGAGAAAGCAGCAGUUCUUUUCAUCUCACCUACAAAAUAUUCUUCAUUUUACCUAAACGGCUUGUUUUGUGCUCAUUUUCUCGUUGUACUUUAUCAUUUAAUUAAUCAAAAUCAGCAAGAGAGAGAGAGAAGUGUUCCGACUGUCACUGAACAAUGCUGCAGGAAUCUGCAAUGACUUGGAAAGACCAAACAUGACCUGAACACAAAUAAUAUUUGUUUGCGAAGGCUUUGUAAGGUUGUUCCUAAGAAAUGGGUAUGAAAAUCAAAAAGUCAAUUGAUAUCUCUCUGCAACUUGUCUGACAAACACAUGGGAAAUUUUGAGAAAUUUUGACAGAUGUCAAAAUGAUAUCAUGAAAACAGUGAUGUCACCAGCAGAAGAUUCAGCUCGACACACAAGAGCUGCAUUUGAUUAUCAAAAACCCCUCACUGUGUGCUUCCAGCAUGACUGAAAGAAUGCCAGUUUUUUUCCCACUCCAGUUUUUACAGUGAAACCUGCAGUUGCAAACAAAUGACGGCACUUACAAAAGACCCCGUAGGAAGAAAACCUUUGGAAGGCUUUGAAAGCCCCCUUUUACUCCUGAGAUUACAUUUGAAAACUUCAAUAAAUUUCAGAGGAGUGAAACUAUCUACUCUUUUAAUCUUUGACUUAAGCACAGAGUAGUGUUGCUCUACUAGUGUGUGUCCGCUCAGGGCCACCGUAGAAACGCGGAUGUAAGCGGAUGUAAACAAAAACGAUUCAAUCUAACCUAAUAAAAGCAUAACAGUUCAUUAUGUAAGGUCUUUAUACACCACUGUAAACAUAGUUAUGUGUAUGAAACUGCAUUUCUGUCAACAGAUCCUCCUAAAUAUUACACACUGCACCUUUAAUCAUGUGUUCAUGGUGGUUGUCUUAUAAUGUUGAAUGUUCCCUGUCUUGUGUUGAACAAUCUGCAAUAAUAAUAAUGAUAAUAAAGCAUACAGUAAAGUGCAGUUGAUAAGCAGGUCAACAGCUGAGAGAUCACAUGGACACACACAUUAACCUUAUCAAUAAUAAUCAACAGUAACUUUGAACGAUGUGUAUUUUGAUAAGGUUACAUAAGUGAAAACAAAAUGUGAUUUAAAUGUUUACAAGCUUUUUAGUAUUUCU
Molecule: non-coding RNA, 1514 nt
Organism: Pimephales promelas (fathead minnow)
Lineage: Eukaryota; Metazoa; Chordata; Actinopteri; Cypriniformes; Leuciscidae
Source: RefSeq, a predicted model, not a curated record